CCUACGGGUGGCAGCAGUGAGGAAUAUUGGUCAAUGGACGAAAGUCUGAACCAUCCAAGUAGCGUGAAGGAUGACUGCCCUAUGGGUUGUAAACUUCUUUUAUAUGGGAGUAAAAUGUUCCACGUGUGGGCUUUUGUAUGUACCCUGUGAAUAAAGAUCGGCUAACUCCGUGCCAGCAGCCGCGGUAAUUAGGAGGGUCCGAGCGUUAUACGGAUUUAUUUGGUUUAAAGGGAGCGUCGGUGGGUUUUUAAGUCAGGUGGGAAAGUUUGCGACUCAACCGUAAAAUUGCAGUUGAAACUGGCAGUCUUGAGUACAGUAGAGGUGGGCGGAAUUCGUGGUGUAGCGGUGAAAUGCUUAGAUAUCACGAAGAACUCCGAUUGCGAAGGCAGCUCACCGGACCGCAACUGACACUGAGGCUCGAAAGUGUGGGUAUCAAACAGGAUUAGAUACCCUAGUAGUC
RNAcentral lists this ribosomal RNA (460 nucleotides) under uncultured bacterium. RNAcentral's name for it is "partial 16S ribosomal RNA". It matches the Rfam family "Bacterial small subunit ribosomal RNA", at positions 338 to 795 of the family's 1533-position model. The record is from RNAcentral.